Eriocheir sinensis (Chinese mitten crab) is the source of this 5793-nucleotide long non-coding RNA. RefSeq lists it as uncharacterized. NCBI's taxonomy places the organism in Eukaryota, Metazoa, Arthropoda, Malacostraca, Decapoda, Varunidae. The transcript is spliced from 2 exons. The record is from RefSeq and is a predicted model, not a curated record.
AUUGUAUUACACUGAAUGUAUCCUCAGUGUUCUCUAAGUCAAAAUUGUAUUACACUGAAUGUAUCCUCAGUGUUCUCUAAGUCAAAAUUGUAUUACACUGAAUGUAUCCUCAGUGUUCUCUAAGUCAAAAUUGUAUUAUUAUUAUUUUUUUUUUUACAUCGUUCAAUAAAUUCUCUUCCGUCAGUCUUGUGGUGGCCUUAAAAAUGUCACUGUAUUACUCUUCCACUCUCUUAACGGCUUUAUAAUUCUUUUCCGGCCAUUACACUCACACAGCCCAUCAGGUGACACACAGGUGAGACACAGGUGGAAUAAAAGCAGGAAGGAAGUACUCAUUUACGUUUUAUUAAAGCAACAUGACUGAUUCUUUGUGGUGAAUGCAACAAGACAAAAAAUCUUGACCGGAGUGGUGGUGGUGGUGGUGGUGGUGGAUGUGAGGCGCCGUGAUGAUGGGGGAUGAGUGGGGGGGAGAAAGGAGGGGGCGGGGAGAGGAGGGGGUAAAGGGGGGGGGGGUUGGUGGCGGUGGUGGUGGUGGUGGCAAGCGACGAUGAUGAGGAGUCAAUAGUAGUAGUAGUAAUAGUCACAGUAGUAGUAGUAGUAGUACACUAGCCUAUGAGUGAGGAAUAACAAAAUAAAUAGGUGACCCAUAGCAGCGCUAGUUGAGCCACACGUCCGGGGGGCUGCCGCGCCCUCCGGCCGGCCGCCGCCCCCGCCGCGCCCCGCCGCCGCCGCCGGCUGGUGCACGCACGCAGCGCUACAUCUACGCGGUAUAUACAGAAUGUACACGGAACAAAUGCAUAGGCCGGGAGGUGGGGGGCGGCUGGGGGGGCGUGGGGGGCCAGGAUGGACCCAUAGCUGCCGCUAGUUGAGGUCUGCGGUGACUAGCAUCACUAGUUGUCUCCGCGGGGCAGGCGGCUCACGGUAUAAAAAUAUAAUAUUUUAUCUCUCGCUCUCUCACUAACUCUCACUCUACUUAGAAUAGUCUUUGUAUGUAUGUACACGGCCCAUAGCGAGGCUACUGGGGCCAAGGCCACCGUGGUGCGUGCAGAGGGGCGCCCCAAGGCACCCGACAGGACCCGACCCGACGCGCCGCCCCCGGGGCCGCCGGUGAGCAAACCCAGUAACACAGAGGCGGCGGCGGCCCGGGGGGCGGGCGCCGGGGCGAGGCGGGACGGGGCGGGGCGCGUCCUCCGCCGCAGCACCAAGCGUCUGUCUGUCUCCACACGGGUCCCCGCCGCCGCCGGGCCUGGAGGGCGGGGCGGCGGCGGGGCCCUCCACACAGCGGGUCAGGCUACGCGGCAGCGCGGCGAUAGCAGCAGCAGCAGCAGGAGAUAUAGCAGCAACAGUAACACUCAGGGAGGGGGAGGGGGAGGGGGGGGGCAGCCACGACACUCGCGUAGCAGUGACGGCAGAGGGGCUGAAUGAGGGGGUGGGGGUGGGGGGCUGUGGGGCGUGGACUAGAGUGUACGGGGGUGGGGGUGGGGCGGGGAGGGGUCGCCCCCCCGCCCGCUGCUGCCAACACUGGGCGCCGCCAGCAACACACGACAACGGAACAUGAAGAAGAAACCCUCGUGGCGGCGGCGACGCGACUCCUCGUAAAGACUAACACCCGAAACAAUAAAUUACUCGCCCUUUAGAAGCUCUGCCCUGACCGCCCGCGACGAACACCGACAACAACAAGAAUCAUAAUAAAAACAAUAAUAAUAAAAAACAAUAAUAAUAAUAAUAAUAAUAAUGAUAACCGGUACUCGAACACCAGUACUAUGUGAAGUCUUGAUUCCUGAGCCACUUGCAUUUUCUUUAACUUGCAAACCCCAGAAAUAAAUAAAUAAAAUAAUCAAUCAGUCCAUCAAUAGAUGCAUACACACCUCCACCUGAGCUUAGUGCAUCAAUAAUAAUAAUGAUAAUAAUGAUAAAGAUGAUGACAGAGAUACACUCAUACAAUCAUCACCCAACAAUAAUAAUGAUAAUAAUAAAAAUAAGUCGUAAUAGUAAUAAUAGUAAUGCCAACAUCAACACACACACACACACACACAUGUACAAACAAACACAAACUCAAAUGGAAAAAAAAAAAUAUAUAGGUAUACAAAAAAAAAAAAAAAAAGGAAAAACAGGGGGGGGGGGUAUGGAGGAGGAAGGAAGAAGAGGGGGAAUAGUAGUAGUAGUAGUAGUAGUAGUAGUAGUAGUAGUAGUAGUAGUAGUAGUAGUAGUAGUAGUAGUAGGAGGAGGAGGAGGAGGAAGAGAGGGGUGAUGGGGGAGUAUAAUGCCACAAUAUAACAUUUGGAGAAGGAAGAGGAAGAAGAGGAGGAGGAGGAAGAGGAGGAGGAGGAGGAGGAGAAGACAAGAGGGAAAACUGGAGAUAUAGUGAGGAGGAGGAGGAGGAGGGAAAAAGGAAGAGAGGUUGAGAGUUGGUUAGGUUAGGGGUUAAGAAUGUGGGAUUGAAUACACACCAAAAUAGUAUUAGGAAGGAGAAAAAAAAAGAGUAAUAAAGUAAGGUAAGCUGAGGUAAGGAAGUGGGAUUGUUGGGUAAGGAUGGGAGGGUAAGGUUAGGGGUUAGAUAAAAAAUAAAUAAAUAAAUAAAUAAAUAAAAAAGCAGGGAAGGAGGGUUAGGUUAGGUAAGGUUAGAAGUGGGUUGGGGUAAAGGUGGGUAUGAUUGGGGAAAGGGUAGGGUUAGGUAAGGGAGGGAGGUAGGGAAGGAAGGUUAGGUUAGGUUAGGUAAGGUUAGAAAUGGGUUGGGGUAAAGGUGGGUAAGAUUGGGGAAAGGGUAGGGUUAGGUAAGGGAGGGAGGUAAGGUUAGGUAAGGUUAGAAGUGGGUUGGGUAUAGUUGGGUAAGACUGGGGUAGGGUUGGGUUCAGUUAGGUUAGGUAAAUAACGAUCAAAAUAGAGAAAAUAGGGAGGGUAGGAGGAUUAGGUUAGGUAAGGUAAGGUUAGAAGUGGGUUGGGGUAAAGUUGGGUAAGACUGGGGAAGGGUUAGGUUAGGUUAAGUAAACAAAGAUCAAAAUAAACAAUGAGAGUGACGAGAGAAAAAUAGGAAGGGUAGGAAGGUUAGGUAAGGAAAGGUUACAAGUCGGUUGGGGUAAAGUUGGGUAAGACUGGGGAAGGGUUAGGUUAGGUUAGGUUAAGUAAACAAAGAUCAAAAUAAACAAGGAGAAAGAGGAGAGAAAAACAGGGAGGGUAGGAGGGAUAGGUUAGGUUAGGUAAGGUUAGAAGUGGGUUGGGUAAAGAUGGGUAAGACUGGGGUAGGGUUAGGUUAGGUAAAGUAAAUAAAGAUCAAAAUAAAUGAGAAGAGGAGAAAAAUAGGGAGGGUUAGGUUAGGUAAGGUUAGAAGUGGGUUUGGGUAAAGUUGGGUAAGACUGGGGUAGGGUUAGGUUAGGUUAGGUACAUAAAGAUCAAAAUAAACAAGGAGAAAGAGGAAAGAGGUAGAGAGAGAGGGUAAGAUUAAGUAAAGAAGGGGCUUGUUGGGAAAGGGGGGUUGAAGGGGUUAAAGAGAACAAAACGGAAGAGAGAGAGAGAACGAAAAAGAGGCAGAGAGAGAGGUUGGGUAGGAGGGCUAGAUUAGGUUAGCAGUGGGGUUGGGGAAAGGCUAAGAAAGUGGGGUUGAAGGGGGUAAAGAGAACAAAACAGAAGGGAGACAGAACAAAAAAGAGGUAGAAAGAGCGAUAGAGUAGAGGGUUAGAUUAGGUUAGAAGCGGGGUUGGGGAAAGGGAAUGAUAGAAAGGGGUUUGAGGGGGGUUGAAGGGGGGCAAGACAACAAAACAGAAGGGGAGACAGAACAAAAAAAGAGGCAGAGAGAGAGGUUGGGUAGGAGGGCUAGAUUAGGUUAGAGGUGGGGUUGGGAAAGGACUAAGAAAGAAGGGGGUUGAGGAAGGGUUGAAGAGAGCAAGACAACAAAACAGAAGGAGAAAGAACGAAAAAGAGGCAGAGAGAGAGGUUGGGUAGGAGGGCUAGAUUAGGUUAGCAGUGGGGUUGGGAAAGGACUAAGAAAGAAGGGGGGUUGAGGAGGGGUUGAAGAGGGAAAGAGAACAAAACGGAAGGGGAGACAGAACAAAAAAUAGUUAGAAAGAGCGAUAGGGUAGAAGGUUAGAUAAGGUUAGCAGUGGGGUUGGGAAAGGCUAAGAAAGAAGUGGGGUUGAAGGGGGUUAAGAGAACAGCCCUCACUACCUCUCUGAACACACCGACCUACAGAUUGAGCUGUAUUCUAAAGGGAGGUCUCUGUCUCUCUGUGUUGGCGUCAUGUUCGUAAACUCAACUUUUUACAAUAUCUCUGCGUGUGUCUGUAUCUCUCUCUCUCUCUCUCUCUGCAUUAUGUUUCGACUAAUCUAUUUCUCUCUAUAUAUCUUAUUUCUGUAUCUCUCUCUACAGUCUCAUCUACAUUCUUUCUCUCUAAUUUUCCUGAUAGUUAGAUAGAUAAACUUAGCUUGUCUUUUCUCUCUCUCUCUCUCUCUCUCUUUAAUUUUCAUGAUAGAUAUAUAAACAUAACUUGUCUUUUAUGUAUCUCUCUCUCUCUCUCUCUCUCUCUCUCUCUCUCUCUCUCUCUCUCUCUCUCUCAUUUCUUUCUCUCCCUCUCUCGACUUUCACACAUCUAAGCUGUUCUUCAUUUCUUUCCUAUUCUAUUUUUCUCUCUUUUUAUCUAUUCAUCUUUUGACUUUCAUUUCAGAUCUAAGUGACCUUCAACUAUUUCUUUCAUUCAUAUUCUUUCUCUAUUUUAUCUCUGUUUCUCCAGCCAUUUCCCUGAGUUGAAGUCUGAGGCUAGACCAUUGAUUCUCUCUCUCUCUCUCUCUCUCUCUCUCUCUCUCUCUCUCUCUCUCUCUCUCUCUCUCUCACAGGUGGUUAGGGCUGUCAAAUUUGUACAUAUAAUCACUUUUGUGCUCCAGUUGAAAAAAUAGAAGGGUGGAGGAGGAGGAGGAGGAGGAGGAAGAAAGGAGGAAGGAUGGGAUGGGGUAAACACAAGGAAGGAAUAGGAUAAGGAAGAAAUGGGAGAAGGAUAAAGAAGGGGUGGGAUAGGGUAGAGAGAGAGGAGGAGGAGGAGGAGGAAGAGUUGAUGGGUAAUGAAGGAAGGGAAGGGAAGGAAGGAAAAGAAAGGGAAGGGAAAGGAGAGGAGAGGUCAGGUAAGGAAGGGAAGGGGAGGGAAGGGAAGAAGAGGUCAGGUAAGGAAGGGAAAGGAAAUGAAGGGAAAGGAGAGGUCAGGUAAGGAAGGGAAGGGAAGGGAAAUGAGGGGAAGGGAAGGAAAGGAAGGGAAAAGAGUGGUCAGGUAAGGAAGGGAAGGGAAGGUAGGAAAAUGAAGGGAAAUGAAGGAAAGGGAAAGGAGAGGUCAGGUAAGGUAGGAAAAUGAAGGGAAAUGAAGGUAAGGUAAGGUAAGGCAAGGAAAGGGAAAGUAAGGUAAGGAAAGGGAAAGUAAGGUAAGGGGAUGGAAACAAUUAUCAUGAAAAAAUAAAAUAAAAAAAGAAAAAAUAACAAGAAAAAACAAAACAAACACAAUUACACAAAUACAUCAACCUCAUUUAACUUAAGUAUAAAAAGUAAUCAAUUUAGGCCCCUUUUUUUGUUUUGCAUACAUAUCUCAAGGGAAGAGAGGGGCAGGGUUAGUAGAUAUAGGGGGAGGGGGGGGUUAUGAAGGGGUUGGAUUGGGAGAAAAGGGGGGGAGGGGGGAAGAGGGGAAAGGAAGGGAAGGGAAGGGAAUGAGAGAGAGAGAGAGAGAGAGAGAGAGAGAGAGAGAGAGAGAGAGAGAGAGAGAGAGAGAGAGAGAGAGAGAGAGAGAGAGAGAGAGAGAGAGAGAGAGAGAGAGAGAGAGAGAGA